AGAGUUUGAUCCUGGCUCAGAUUGAACGCUGGCGGCAGGCUUAACACAUGCAAGUCGAACGGUAACAGAACUAGCUUGCUAGUUGCUGACGAGUGGCGGACGGGUGAGUAACGCGUAGGAAUCUACCGAGUAGUGGGGGACAACAGUUGGAAACGACUGCUAAUACCGCAUAAUCCCUGAGGGGGAAAGGAGGGGAUCUGUUUACAGACCUUUCGCUAUUUGAUGAGCCUGCGUGAGAUUAGCUAGUUGGUGAGGUAACGGCUCACCAAGACCGCGAUAGGUAGGGGUCCUGAGAGGGAGAUCCCCCACACUGGUACUGAGACACGGACCAGACUCCUACGGGAGGCAGCAGUGAGGAAUAUUGGACAAUGGAGGCAACUCUGAUCCAGCCAUGCCGCGUGCAGGAAGACUGCCCUAUGGGUUGUAAACUGCUUUUAUACAGGAAGAAACCUUGGUACGUGUACCAAGCUGACGGUACUGUAAGAAUAAGGAUCGGCUAACUCCGUGCCAGCAGCCGCGGUAAUACGGAGGAUCCAAGCGUUAUCCGGAAUCAUUGGGUUUAAAGGGUCCGCAGGCGGUCUUUUAAGUCAGAGGUGAAAUCCUAUCGCUCAACGAUAGAACUGCCUUUGAUACUGAAAGACUUGAGUUAUUGUGAAGUGGUUAGAAUAUGUAGUGUAGCGGUGAAAUGCAUAGAUAUUACAUAGAAUACCGAUUGCGAAGGCAGAUCACUAACAAUACACUGACGCUGAGGGACGAAAGCGUGGGUAGCGAACAGGAC
This 778-nucleotide ribosomal RNA is filed under the name uncultured bacterium. RNAcentral describes it as "bacterial SSU rRNA". It matches the Rfam family "Bacterial small subunit ribosomal RNA", at positions 8 to 778 of the family's 1533-position model. The record is from RNAcentral.